Molecule: non-coding RNA, 347 nt
Organism: Salmo salar (Atlantic salmon)
Lineage: Eukaryota; Metazoa; Chordata; Actinopteri; Salmoniformes; Salmonidae
Source: RefSeq, a predicted model, not a curated record
CGCUAGUGAGUAUUUUUCCGGCGUUGCUCCGCAAGCUUUUUAUGUUUGGAUGCACGUUCCUCGCCCCCCCCCAAAAAUGCCUAAAAGAUCUUAUCCUUUCGCUGAAUCUUUCUCAUCGCAGCAUAAAAUUCACAUUGGACAAAAGGAGUUGAAUAAUCGCGGCGAUUAUGGGGACAAGUAUAGACAAGAAAUCUACGAAAAGACAGACCCUGCUCUUCAACGGUACCAAAGCUGUCAUGGGGAAAAUCUGGAAUAUAGAUACGGAGAAGUGCUCAACGAUACAGCCUUCGGGGUCAGGUGUGACACCUGACGGGAGCCGCACACUACUGAGGGGACAGACACCGAUU